GCCCUGAGCCGAAGGCAGACGCUUAACCGCUGUGCCACCCAGGAGCUUCUGUUGCUGACAGUCCCUGAAGGUUGCUACGGUGGAUGGCAAGUAUCACAGCAAAGAAAGAAAAGAGUGUGAGGAAGAAAUUAUUCAAAAGAAAUAUGUAUUCUUCCUCAAAUGGGGACAAGAUAGAUGUGAAAAAGAAAACGACAUACGUUUGAGUGGAUACAUCCAAAGCUGAAGAAAGGCUAUGUCCACGUCUAGGAAGAAUCAAGAACAAAUACACCAGUCACAGUUUUUGUUCACACUUCUAUGUGUAGUGUAUGUGGAUCCCUGCGCCCCACUGACAGUUAUCAUCAUGUGAUAUGAUUGAUAGGACCUGUGUUCUUUGUGCUGAAAACUAGGAGACCAUCUGUGAAGCAAAGAGAGAGAUAACAGCCCACGAGAGAGGGAACACAAGCAGGGGGAGCAGGAGAGG
Long non-coding RNA from Ailuropoda melanoleuca (giant panda), 460 nucleotides. RefSeq lists it as uncharacterized. The record is from RefSeq and is a predicted model, not a curated record. The transcript is spliced from 3 exons. Lineage: Eukaryota; Metazoa; Chordata; Mammalia; Carnivora; Ursidae.